RNAcentral lists this transfer RNA (69 nucleotides) under Sphaerodactylus townsendi. RNAcentral's name for it is "tRNA-Ala". Lineage: Eukaryota; Metazoa; Chordata; Lepidosauria; Squamata; Sphaerodactylidae. The record is from RNAcentral.
GCCGUGGUUCAGUGGUAGAGCAUCUGCUUGGCGCAUGGAAGGUCCCAGGUUCAAUACUUGGCAUCUCCA